This 301-nucleotide ribosomal RNA is filed under the name uncultured bacterium. RNAcentral's name for it is "partial 16S ribosomal RNA". It matches the Rfam family "Bacterial small subunit ribosomal RNA", at positions 509 to 807 of the family's 1533-position model. The record is from RNAcentral.
CAGUCGCCACGGUAAUACGUAGGGUGCAAGCGUUAAUCGGAAUUACUGGGCGUAAAGGGCUCGCAGGCGGUUUCUUAAGUCUGAUGUGAAAGCCCCCGGCUCAACCGGGGAGGGUCAUUGGAAACUGGGAAACUUGAGUGCAGAAGAGGAGAGUGGAAUUCCACGUGUAGCGGUGAAAUGCGUAGAGGUGUGGAGGAACACCAGUGGCGAAGGCGACUCUCUGGUCUGUAACUGACGCUGAGGAGCGAAAGCGUGGGGAGCGAACAGGAUUAGAUACCCGCGUAGUCCCUGUCUCUUAUAC